AAAUAAGGGUUUAGGUGGCGUUUUUUUAACGGCGUUUUUUAAAACGUCACUAUUUUUAAUAUUUUACGGCGUUUUAUAAACGUCUUGUUUUUUUUUACUUGAAACGGCGCCGUUUUAUGAAUAGGAGGCGUUUUUUUACGCCUUCAAAUGCAUGUUGUCUCACGCGCUUCCUUUUCCAAUCUGAGAAUCUCAACUCCAAAUUGAAUCGAUGCACUCACAAAUAAGCUCUCUCUCUCCCCGCUGUCUAAACCCUCAGAAAUUGAAGUUGCUUAUCAAUGGAAUGCUCAGAAAUUGAAGUUCUCUCUCGAAAUCGAAGUGAUUCAUCAGAGUGAUUUCGAAGUUCAUCUCAGGAUUCAGAUCUCGAAAUCGAAGUUCAUAUCUCGAAAUUUUAAAAUUCUGAGUUCAAAUCACUUCGAUUUCAUAUUGCAAUUCAAAUUUGAGUUUAUAUCACUUCGAUUUUGAUUUAGAUCUGAGUUCAUAUCACUUCAAUUUCGAUUCAGAUCGUGAUUCAGAUCUCGGCGAUUCAGAUCGGUCUCAGUGAUUCAUAUCUCGAAAUCGAAAUCGAAGUUCGAUUCAGAUCGUGAUUCAGGUAUCAUCGAUUCAGAUCGGUCUCAGUGAUUCACAUCUUGAAAUCGAAAUCGAAGGUCAUCUCAGCGAUUCAGAUCGGUGAUUCAGCUUGGUGAUUCAGAGGUUCAAAUCGAUCUCAGCGAUUCAGAUCGGUGAUGAAGACAGUAAGAUUACCACUGUUCAACUAAGGUUACUGCAAUUUUUCCACAAAACAUUAUCACAUGUUCAGGAGACACAACUUAUGAUGAUGACAGAAUUUGAUUUCAGAGGGCACGAUUCUGCAUUCAAAGACCGAUAUCUGCAAUUACAAAAUGUUCGGGUGAGCGUUGGGAAUGCCCUGCACUCAAAUUUCUCUGACAACCCUGACCAAGAAUCUAUUAAACAGGAAAAGCUGAUCCUUGGAAUGCUGAGCCCUAUCGAUGAAUUCUCCAACAUAAAUAGUAGGAACAACCAGUGAAUGAUACUAAACAGAAAGCAAAGGUGUGAUGU
This is a non-coding RNA of Camellia sinensis, 1056 nucleotides long. The record is from RefSeq and is a predicted model, not a curated record. Lineage: Eukaryota; Viridiplantae; Streptophyta; Magnoliopsida; Ericales; Theaceae.